UACAAAAGGAACUAGCGUUGCUCGGAAUCACUGAACAUAAAGGGUGCGUAGGCGGGUCUUUAAGUCAGGAGUGAAAUCCUAGAGCUCAACUCCAGAACUGCCUUUGAUACUGAAGAUCUUGAGUUCGGGAGAGGUGAGUGGAACUGCGAGUGUAGAGGUGAAAUUCGUAGAUAUUCGCAAGAACACCAGUGGCGAAGGCGGCUCACUGGCCCGAUACUGACGCUGAGGCACGAAAGCGUGGGGAGCAAACAGG
RNAcentral lists this ribosomal RNA (253 nucleotides) under uncultured bacterium. RNAcentral's name for it is "partial 16S ribosomal RNA". It matches the Rfam family "Bacterial small subunit ribosomal RNA", at positions 524 to 776 of the family's 1533-position model. The record is from RNAcentral.